GACGAACGCUGGCGGCGUGCCUAAUACAUGCAAGUCGAGCGGACGAAUCGAAAGCUUGCUUUUGAUUCGUUAGCGGCGGACGGGUGAGUAACACGUGGGCAACCUGCCCUGUAGACGGGGAUAACACCGAGAAAUCGGUGCUAAUACCGGAUAACACGAAAUGUCGCAUGACGUUUCGUUGAAAGACGGCGCAAGCUGUCGCUACAGGAUGGGCCCGCGGCGCAUUAGCUAGUUGGUGAGGUAACGGCCCACCAAGGCGACGAUGCGUAGCCGACCUGAGAGGGUGAUCGGCCACACUGGGACUGAGACACGGCCCAGACUCCUACGGGAGGCAGCAGUAGGGAAUCUUCCGCAAUGGACGAAAGUCUGACGGAGCAACGCCGCGUGAGCGAAGAAGGCCUUCGGGUCGUAAAGCUCUGUUGUUAGGGAAGAACAAGUAACGCAGUAACUGGCGUUACCGUGACGGUACCUAACGAGAAAGCCACGGCUAACUACGUG
Molecule: ribosomal RNA, 498 nt
Filed under: uncultured bacterium
Lineage: Bacteria
Description: partial 16S ribosomal RNA
Rfam family: Bacterial small subunit ribosomal RNA
Source: RNAcentral